Molecule: long non-coding RNA, 369 nt
Organism: Rattus norvegicus (Norway rat)
Lineage: Eukaryota; Metazoa; Chordata; Mammalia; Rodentia; Muridae
Source: RefSeq, a predicted model, not a curated record
GGACGAGAAGGAAGGAUGGGCGGGAGAAAGGUUUAAAGGAAGAGGAGGAGACUGGAACGGGAAGGAGGAAGAGACGGGAGGCGGAGAGAGAGAAGCCGUGGCUGGUGAUGUUAAGAUUCCGCUCUGUGUGUUUACAGGGACCCAAGAACGUCAAGACCAGAAACACGAUGAGAUGUUAGACCCAGCUUCACUCAUCCCACCUACCAUGUCCACGGUAGGACACACAAGCCUGCCUGCUGUCUUCUGAUGUCUUCGACCUGUUUAACAUUGAUGCUUAAUGUUCUAAGCUCUCCACCUGGUGGUGCCAUUUCGUAAAGAUGCUGAUGUGUUAAGACUUUAGCAGUUUAAUAAAGGAUUGUUUUUCUUGUU